Molecule: microRNA precursor, 133 nt
Filed under: Pelobates cultripes (western spadefoot toad)
Lineage: Eukaryota; Metazoa; Chordata; Amphibia; Anura; Pelobatidae
Source: RNAcentral
UAUAGUCUCUCUCUUUAAAAAUAAUCUGGCAUCUCGCAGUGUAAUAUAUAUAUAUAUAUAUAUAUAUAUAUAUAUAUAUAUAUAUACACACACACUGUGAGAUGCCAGAUUAUUUUUAAAGAGAGAGACUAUA